UCCCUGGUGGCUCAGAUGAUAAAGAAUCUGUCUGUAGUGCAGAAGACCCGGGUUUGAUUCCUGAUUUGGGAA
RNAcentral lists this transfer RNA (72 nucleotides) under Ovis aries (sheep). It matches the Rfam family "tRNA". Rfam says of the family: Transfer RNA (tRNA) molecules are approximately 80 nucleotides in length. Their secondary structure includes four short double-helical elements and three loops (D, anti-codon, and T loops). The record is from Rfam by way of RNAcentral. Lineage: Eukaryota; Metazoa; Chordata; Mammalia; Artiodactyla; Bovidae.